RNAcentral lists this ribosomal RNA (253 nucleotides) under uncultured bacterium. RNAcentral describes it as "partial 16S ribosomal RNA". It matches the Rfam family "Bacterial small subunit ribosomal RNA", at positions 524 to 776 of the family's 1533-position model. The record is from RNAcentral.
UACAGAGGAGCCAAGCGUUGUCCGGAUUGACUGGGCGUAAAGCGCACGCAGGCGGACGCGCGCGUGGGGUGUGAAAUCUGGCCGCUUAACGGCCAGGCGCCAUCCCAUACGGCGGGUCUGGAGCCUUGCAGAGGUCGGUGGAAUUGCCGGUGUAGCGGUGAAAUGUGUAGAGAUCGGGAGGAACACCGGUGGCGAAGGCGGGUCUCUGGGCAAUUCCUGACGCUGAGGCGCGAAAGCGUGGGGAGCAAACGGG